UCGCUCCAGCAGUCGUAGAACGAGAUAGCUAAAAUUGGAAUCUAUACAAAGAAGAUUAGCACAGCCACUGCCACCAGGAUGAUACACAAAUUUGUGAAGCGUUCCAUAUUACA
This 113-nucleotide small nuclear RNA is filed under the name Echinops telfairi (small Madagascar hedgehog). The record is from RNAcentral. Lineage: Eukaryota; Metazoa; Chordata; Mammalia; Afrosoricida; Tenrecidae.